Molecule: long non-coding RNA, 398 nt
Filed under: Vitis vinifera (wine grape)
Lineage: Eukaryota; Viridiplantae; Streptophyta; Magnoliopsida; Vitales; Vitaceae
Description: long non-coding RNA (VVIN_LNC002595)
Source: RNAcentral
AUGACUUCAAAAGACUGCGGCAACCAUAGGCACAAGCAUCAUAAGCUGAGGCGAUGCUUCGCCGGAUUGCUUAUCUUCUUCUUCAUCGUCCUCCUCGUCGUACUCCUGGUGUGGGCAAUCCUCCAGCCCAAGGACCCACGCUUCGUCCUCCAAGACGCCACCAUCUACGCCCUCAACGUCUCCACCCCGAAUAUCCUCACCGUCAACAUCCAAGUCACCAUCACCACCCGCAACCCCAACGACAAGAUCGGCAUCUACUAUGAGAAACUCGACACCUACGCCACCUACCGCGGCCAGCAGAUUACCCUCGCGUACCUCAUCCCCCCCACCUACCAGGGCCACAAGGAGAUCAUCACCUGGUCACCUUUUCUCUCCGGCACGGCCGUACCCGUGGCUCC